GCGGUUAUACGAGAGGCCCAAGUUGACAAACAACGGCGUAAAGAGUGGUUAGGGGAAUUACUAAACUAGAGCCGAACGCUUUCAAAGCUGUUAUACGCACCCGAAAGUAUGAAACCCAAUUACGAAAGUAGCUCUACCUGUCCUGAACCCACGAAAGCUAAGAAACAAACUGGGAUUAGAUACCCCACUAUGCUUAGCCCUAAACAUCGAUUGCACCAUACACUCUAUAUCCGCCCGGGAAUUAUGAACGUCAGUUUAAAACCCAAAGGACUUGGCGGUGCUUAACAUCCACCUAGAGGAGCCUGUUCUAGAACCGAUAACCCCCGUUAAACCUCACCCUCUCUUGUUUUAUCCGCCUAUAUACCACCGUCGUCAGCUUACCCUGUGAAGGUUUUACAGUAAGCAAAAUUGGCACAGCCCAAAACGUCAGGUCGAGGUGUAGUGAAUGAGGGGGGAAGAAAUGGGCUACAUUUGCUAAGCAUAGCAAACACGAAUGUUGCAUUGAAACAUGCAGCUGAAGGAGGAUUUAGCAGUAAGCAGGAAAUAGAGCGUCCCGCUGAAAUUGGCCCUAAAGCGCGCACACACCGCCCGUCACCCUCCCCAAGCUCCCCCCGUACUAAACUAAUUAAGAACCAACAACCCGCGAAGGGGAGGAAAGUCGUAA
This 664-nucleotide ribosomal RNA is filed under the name Microstomus kitt (lemon sole). RNAcentral's name for it is "partial small subunit ribosomal RNA". It matches the Rfam family "Bacterial small subunit ribosomal RNA", at positions 517 to 1491 of the family's 1533-position model. The record is from RNAcentral. Lineage: Eukaryota; Metazoa; Chordata; Actinopteri; Pleuronectiformes; Pleuronectidae.